Molecule: long non-coding RNA, 376 nt
Filed under: Capsicum annuum
Lineage: Eukaryota; Viridiplantae; Streptophyta; Magnoliopsida; Solanales; Solanaceae
Description: long non-coding RNA (CANN_LNC006512)
Source: RNAcentral
GUUGAUCCAAGGUCUAAAUAUGUUAUUCCUAAAUUAAUAGAGAAAUUUGGCAAGCUUGAGAAUUCAGUUGUCUUCUCAAUAUAUUAAUAUUCAUGCAACGAUUAAUUAAGUUGAAAAAUUUGAGUUGAACAAAUUUAUUGAGGAAACUUCUCAUGAAGUAGACAAACCCAAAAAUUCAAACAAGAUGAUAAUUGUGUUGAUAUAAAAUUGGAGAAGUUAGAAGAAGAGGUUGAUAAGAUCAAAGAAAGAGAAAAAAAGUGAAGAAGAAUUGCCAAAUUUGUUGUGUUUUGUUGUUCUGUACUACUAAUAGCUAUAAACUAUUGGCUUGGGAUGAUACAUAUAAAGAAAGGUUCAAUGAAGUUACCUUAGAUGCAGG